Molecule: small RNA, 3167 nt
Filed under: Pongo abelii (Sumatran orangutan)
Lineage: Eukaryota; Metazoa; Chordata; Mammalia; Primates; Hominidae
Description: retained intron
Source: RNAcentral
GGCUUAUAUUAUUUGUUGCUACAUAACAAAUUGCCCCAAAUGUAGUGGCUUAAAACAACAGACAUUUAUUCUCCCAGUUUCUGUGGGUCUGGAAUCUGGGAGCAGCUUAGCUGGUUCUGGUCCAGGGUCUCUCACUGGGUUGUGGUCACAUGUUUGCUGGCUGGGCUGGAGGGCCUGCUUUCGAGGUGGUUUCAACACUCGACCACUGACAGGAGGCCCUGGUCCCGUCCCAUGUGGGCUCUCCAUGGUGCUGCUUGAGCAUCCUCACAGCUCAGAUUGAGCGAUGAGAGGGAGGGAGGAAGAGAGUGAAAACACACAAGGCGGGAGGUGCAGGGCCUCUUUGUUUCGUAGCACCUGAAGCACACACAGUCACUGCCACUCUCUUCAUCAGAAGCAGCCAAGUCCCACACUCAGCGGUGGGAAGUGAGCUCCACCUCACGAAAGGGGAAGUCAAAGAAUUUGUGGACAUGCUUUAAAGCCACUGUCACGCGAGACGAACACUUGUAAUGAAAAAUUGGGGCAGUAUUAAGAAAGUGUACUUCAGGAAAAAGCUGUCCAUGGAACUGCCACGUGCAGGUCCACUCUGACACCUUGGUUGUGUGCUGUUCCUGCCUUUUUUUUUUCUGGCCCUGGUGGUUUUUCAUGGACUUGUAGUUAAACUGCAUAUGUAAUUUUCCUUCAUUUUUCACUUAGUAUCAUGACAUUUUACGUGCUUAUAAACUCUAUAAAAAUCCAUUUUUUAGUUUUCUGUUUUAAGAGACCAGGUCUCCCUCUGUCACCCAGACUGGAAUGCAGUGGUGUAAUCGGAGAUCGCCGUAACCUCGACCUCCUUGGCUCAAGGGAUCCUCCUGCUCCAGCCUCCCAAAUAGCUGGGAUUACAUAUACCACCACAUGCAGAUAAUUUUUUUUGGUUUGGUGUUGUUUGUUUGCGACUGAGUUUCGCUCUGUUGUCCAGGCUGGAGUGUAGUGGCGCAAUCUUGGCUCACUGCAACCUCUGCCUCCCGGAUUCAAGCGAUUUUCCUGCCUCAGCCUCCCAAGUAGCUGGGACUACAUGUGCAUCCCAACAUGCCCAGCUAAUUUUUGUAUUUUUAGUAGAGACGGGAUUUCACUUUGUUGGUCAGGGUGGUCUUGAACGCCGACCUCAAGUGAUCUGCCUGCCUUUACCUCCCAAAGUGCUGGGACUACAGGCAUGAGCCAUGGCGCCCAGCCUGUUUUUAAGAGACAGGGUCUCUUUAUGUUAUCCAGGCUGGUCUUGAACUCCUGACCUCAAGCAGUCCUCCCACCUCAGCCUCUCAAAGUGCUGGGAUUACAGGCAUGAGCCACUAUGCCUGGGCUAGUUUUUUUAAUUAAACUUUUUGUUUUGAGAUAAUCAUAGCUGCACAUGCAGUUGUAAUAAAUAAUACAAAGAGAUUCCAUGUACACUUUACCCAGUUUCCUCCAAUGGUAACAUUUUGCAAAACUAUAAUAAAAUAUCACCAUCAGGAUCCUAACAUGGUCAAAAUACAGAGCAGUUCCAUCACCAGGAUCCCUCCUGUCACCCUUUUAAGGCCACCCUUACACCCCCAUCCCUACGGACCCCAUCCCUAACCACUGGCAACUACUAAUCUUCUCGGCUUCUACCAUUUUAUUAUUUCAAGAACACAUAUAAAUGGAAGCAUAUGAUGUGUAACUUUAGGGGACUGGUUUAAUUCUCUGGAGAUUAGCCCAGGUUGUUUGAUGCAUCAGGAGUUCAUUCUUUGCCAUUCUUGAGUGGUAUUCAAAGGUAUGGGUCGACCAUGGUUUGUUUAACCAUUUCCACAUUGAAGGACAUCUAGGCUGACUCCAGAUUUUGGCUGUUCCAGAUAAAGCUGCUAUGAACAUUUGUGUUCAUGUGUUCAAGCUUUUAUGUGAACAGUCUUCAUUGUUCUGGGAUAAGUCCGCAGGAGUGCCACGGUGGGGUCGUAUGGGAGUUGCAUAUUUCGUUAUGAAAAUCAUAUUUAAUAGCAGCUUAAUUCUUCAUCAAGAGACUAGAUCUUUUUUUUUUUUUUUUUUUUUUUUUUUUUUUUUUUUUUUUUUUUUGAGACAGAGUCUUGCUCUGUCGCCCAGGCUGGAGCACAAUGGCACGAUCUCGGCUCACUGCAACCUCCGCCUCCCGGGUUCAAGCAAUUCUCCUGCCUCAGCCUCCCGAGUAGCUGGGAUUACAGGCACCCGCCACCAUGCCCGGCUAAUUUGUGUAUUUUUAGUAGAGACGGGGUUUCACCAUGUUGGCUAGGCUGGUCUCGAACUCCUGACCUUGGGUGAUCCCCCCACCUCGGCCUCCCAAAGUGCUGGGAUUACAGGUGUGAGCCACCACGCCUGGCCAAGACUAGAUCAUAAUUUAAGUAUUAUUCCUUUGUCAUUGGAUAUAUAGUAUUUCUAAUUAAUGGGCAAUUAUAAGUGAUUCUGUACUUUGUCUUUAAAAUUAUUUUUGUGUUUCUGAUUAUUUCUUUAGGAUGGGUUCCCAUGAGUAGAGUUGCUCCAUGGUGGGAUGGGAGACUUCAAGGGGCAAGUUGCCAAACUAGACAUUUCUAAUUCUGGUAACAGGCUGCCAUGUGUGCGUUAUUGAGUUGAUGUGCUCACAAUGCCCUGGGCGGUGAUGGGGGCUUUGCAGGCCCACGUGGGAGCUGUCAGGGAGCCAGCGAGGCCUCAGCUGGCUUGGUUGGCACUUCCCUGACAAUCCUUCCAUUGUGCCCAUCAGUGCUGGAUGCCCAAAGCCUGGCACGGAGUUUCUUUAACCGCCUUUGGGAAGUUGCCGGCCAGUGGCAGAAGCAGGUGCCAUUGGCUGCCCGGGCCUCACAGCGGCAGUGGCUGGUCUCCAUCCACGCUAUCCGGAACACUCGCCGCAAGAUGGAGGACCGGCACGUGUCCCUCCCUUCCUUCAACCAGCUCUUCGGCUUGUCUGACCCUGUGGACCGUGCCUACUUUGCUGUGUUUGAUGGUCACGGAGGUGUGGAUGCUGCGAGGUACGCCGCUGUCCACGUGCACACCAACGCUGCCCGCCAGCCAGAGCUGCUCACAGACCCUGCAGGAGCCCUCAGAGAAGCUUUCCGGCGCACCGACCAGAUGUUUCUCAGGAAAGCCAAGCGAGAGGCAGGGUCUCAGCAGGCUACCGAUGUCCUCUGGGAACACUCCUUCGGGAGUUAUAGCCA